UUGGAAGGCAAGUCUGGUGCCAGCAGCCGCGGUAAUUCCAGCUCCAAUAGCGUAUAUUAAAGUUGUUGCAGUUAAAAAGCUCGUAGUUGAAUUUCGGGAUUAGUACGCUGGUCGUGCCUUCGGUACGUACUGGUGUUACUGAUUCCUACCUUCUGACGAACCAUCAUGUCAUUAGUUUGGUGUGGUGGGGAAUCAGGACUGUUACUUUGAAAAAAUUAGAGUGUUUAAAGCAGGCUCGCGCUUGAAUACAUUAGCAUGGAAUAAUGAAAUAGGACGUUGAUCCUAUUUUGUUGGUUUCUAGGAUUGACGUAAUGAUUAAUAGGGAUAGUUGGGGGCAUUAGUAUUCAAUUGUCAGAGGUGAAAUUCUUGGAUUUAUUGAAGACUAACUACUGCGAAAGCAUUUGCCAAGGAUGUUUUCAUUAAUCAAGAACGAAAGUUAGGGAAUCGAAGACGAUCAGAUACCGUCGUAGUCUUAACCAUAAACUAUGCCGACUAGGGAUCGGAUGAUGUUAUUUUUAAUGACUCAUUCGGCGCCUUACGGGAAAC
This 546-nucleotide ribosomal RNA is filed under the name uncultured Glomeromycotina. RNAcentral describes it as "SSU rRNA". It matches the Rfam family "Eukaryotic small subunit ribosomal RNA", at positions 548 to 1098 of the family's 1831-position model. Lineage: Eukaryota; Fungi; Glomeromycota. The record is from RNAcentral.